RNAcentral lists this ribosomal RNA (406 nucleotides) under uncultured bacterium. RNAcentral describes it as "partial 16S ribosomal RNA". It matches the Rfam family "Bacterial small subunit ribosomal RNA", at positions 29 to 526 of the family's 1533-position model. The record is from RNAcentral.
AUUGAACGCUGGCGGCAGGCCUAACACAUGCCAGUCGAGCGAGCGGCGGACGGGUGCGUAAUGUCUGGGAAACUGCCUGAUGGAGGGGGAUAACUACUGGAAACGGUAGCUAAUACCGCAUACCAUCAGAUGUGCCCAGAUGGGAUUAGCUAGUAGGUGGGGUAACGGCUCACCUAGGCGACGAUCCCUAGCUGGUCUGAGAGGAUGACCAGCGACACUGGAACUGAGACACGGUCCAGACUCCUACGGGAGGCAGCAGUGGGUAAGAUUGCACAAUGGGAGCAAGCCGGAUGCAGCCAUGCCGCGUGUGUGAAGAGGGCCUUCGGGUUGUAAAGCACUUUCAGCGGGGAGGCGUUACCCGCAGAAGAAGCACCGGCUAACUCCGUGCCAGCAGCCGCGGUAAUAC